RNAcentral lists this ribosomal RNA (670 nucleotides) under Enterobacteriaceae bacterium. RNAcentral describes it as "bacterial SSU rRNA". It matches the Rfam family "Bacterial small subunit ribosomal RNA", at positions 62 to 723 of the family's 1533-position model. Lineage: Bacteria; Pseudomonadati; Pseudomonadota; Gammaproteobacteria; Enterobacterales; Enterobacteriaceae. The record is from RNAcentral.
UCGAACGGUAGCACAGAGAGCUUGCUCUCGGGUGACGAGUGGCGGACGGGUGAGUAAUGUCUGGGAAACUGCCUGAUGGAGGGGGAUAACUACUGGAAACGGUAGCUAAUACCGCAUAACGUCGCAAGACCAAAGAGGGGGACCUUCGGGCCUCUUGCCAUCAGAUGUGCCCAGAUGGGAUUAGCUAGUAGGUGGGGUAACGGCUCACCUAGGCGACGAUCCCUAGCUGGUCUGAGAGGAUGACCAGCCACACUGGAACUGAGACACGGUCCAGACUCCUACGGGAGGCAGCAGUGGGGAAUAUUGCACAAUGGGCGCAAGCCUGAUGCAGCCAUGCCGCGUGUAUGAAGAAGGCCUUCGGGUUGUAAAGUACUUUCAGCGGGGAGGAAGGUGUUGAGGUUAAUAACCUUAUUAAUUGACGUUACCCGCAGAAGAAGCACCGGCUAACUCCGUGCCAGCAGCCGCGGUAAUACGGAGGGUGCAAGCGUUAAUCGGAAUUACUGGGCGUAAAGCGCACGCAGGCGGUCUGUCAAGUCGGAUGUGAAAUCCCCGGGCUCAACCUGGGAACUGCAUUCGAAACUGGCAGGCUGGAGUCUUGUAGAGGGGGGUAGAAUUCCAGGUGUAGCGGUGAAAUGCGUAGAGAUCUGGAGGAAUACCGGUGGCGAAGGCG